GUGCGAGCGUCCCCACGGUCUGGAGAGUGCACCUUCAGGUGCCGGACGCUGCUCCCUUACAGAUGCAGUCGGAUUUCUUCCUGCCAAAGCCCCGGAAGCUGCGGAACCGGCACCUGCGGAAGCCACUGGUGGUCCAGAGAACACUGCUCCCUAGACCAUCGGAAAACCAGUCCCACAACGUUUGUUCCUUCUCCAUCCUGUCUAACUCUUCCGUAACUGGGAGAGGUUCGUUCCGGCCCAUCCAGUCUUCUCUGACCAAAGCAGCUCUGUCUCGGCCGAUCGUGCCCAAGGUCCUUCCACCCCAGGCCACGAGUCACCUGGCCAGUGCUAUCGACUUAGCAGCUACGAGUGCCGGCAUUCUCUCUGGGAACCCCCUCCCUGCCUUGGACACCGAGGGCUUGUCUGGCAUCUCUCCACUGUCUUCAGACGAGGUGACGGGUGCCAUCUCGGGGCAGGACUCCACUGGAACUCACCAGGAUGGAGAUGCCCUCCCCACUGUGGGGGGCUCCGACCCAUUCGUCAGCAUCCCUUCGA
RNAcentral lists this small RNA (534 nucleotides) under Pongo abelii (Sumatran orangutan). RNAcentral's name for it is "retained intron". Lineage: Eukaryota; Metazoa; Chordata; Mammalia; Primates; Hominidae. The record is from RNAcentral.